AGGGUGUAAACGCUGCGGGCUUGGUGUUGGGGGUCCUUUGUGGGCGCCCAGUGCCGGAGAGAAGUUGUUAAGCCUGCUGCUUGGGGAGUAUGUCCGCAAGGAUGAAACUUAAAGGAAUUGGCGGGGGAGCACCGCAACGGGAGGAGCGUGCGGUUCAGUUGGAUUCAACGCCGAAAAACUCACCAGGAGUGACGGAUAUAUGAAGGUCAAGUUGAUGACUUUACCUGAUUUCCGUAGAGGAGGUGGCAUGGCGUAGACGUCU
RNAcentral lists this ribosomal RNA (262 nucleotides) under uncultured archaeon. RNAcentral's name for it is "partial 16S ribosomal RNA". It matches the Rfam family "Archaeal small subunit ribosomal RNA", at positions 748 to 1009 of the family's 1478-position model. The record is from RNAcentral.